This 18-nucleotide small nuclear RNA is filed under the name Arabidopsis thaliana (thale cress). RNAcentral describes it as "snRNA_00144". The record is from RNAcentral. Lineage: Eukaryota; Viridiplantae; Streptophyta; Magnoliopsida; Brassicales; Brassicaceae.
GUGGCAGAGUGGCCUUGC